GAUGAACGCUGGCGGCGUGCCUAAUACAUGCAAGUCGAGCGAACGGACGAGAAGCUUGCUUCUCUGAUGUUAGCGGCGGACGGGUGAGUAACACGUGGAUAACCUACCUAUAAGACUGGGAUAACUUCGGGAAACCGGAGCUAAUACCGGAUAAUAUUUUGAACCGCAUGGUUCAAAAGUGAAAGACGGUCUUGCUGUCACUUAUAGAUGGAUCCGCGCUGCAUUAGCAAGUUGGUAAGGUAACGGCUUACCAAGGCAACGAUGCAUAGCCGACCUGAGAGGGUGAUCGGCCACACGGGAACUGAGACACGGUACAGACUCCUACGGGAGGCAGCAGUAGGGAAUCUUACGCGAUGGGCGAAAGCCUGACGGAGCAACGCCGCGUGAGUGAUGAAGGUCUUCGGAUCGUAAAACUCUGUUAUUAGGGAAGAACAUAUGUGUAAGUAACUGUGCACAUCUUGACGGUACCUAAUCAGAAAGCCACGGCUAACUACGUG
Molecule: ribosomal RNA, 497 nt
Filed under: uncultured bacterium
Lineage: Bacteria
Description: partial 16S ribosomal RNA
Rfam family: Bacterial small subunit ribosomal RNA
Source: RNAcentral